This 254-nucleotide ribosomal RNA is filed under the name uncultured bacterium. RNAcentral's name for it is "partial 16S ribosomal RNA". It matches the Rfam family "Bacterial small subunit ribosomal RNA", at positions 524 to 776 of the family's 1533-position model. The record is from RNAcentral.
UACGUAGGGCGCAAGCGUUGUCCGGAAUUAUUGGGCGUAAAGAGCUCGUAGGCGGUUUGUCGCGUCUGGUGUGAAAACUCGAGGCUCAACCUCGAGCUUGCAUCGGGUACGGGCAGACUAGAGUGCGGUAGGGGAGACUGGAAUUCCUGGUGUAGCGGUGGAAUGCGCAGAUAUCAGGAGGAACACCGAUGGCGAAGGCAGGUCUCUGGGCCGCAACUGACGCUGAGGAGCGAAAGACAUGGGGAGCGAACAGG